UUCUCCCAUACUCCAUUUUCGCCAGCAUUUCGAAAUCGAACAUCCGAACUGCACUAGUUGGUUGCCGGGCGGUUUAGCAUCUAUGCAACUCUAUAAAAAAAAUAAAUGCAAGUGCUAAAUGACAUAGGACAACUUAAAGGGAUAGACCAAGGAAGGCGGAACUAUCUUGAAUUAUGGGGUUUGGGGUAUACUGAGUUGUAUUGGAGGUGGACCUGGAUGGUUUUGGUAAUAAAAUUGAGAAAUUAGCGAAUAGUGGGAGAGGGAGAAGGAAAGAGAUGAAAAGAGAGAGCAAGA
This 294-nucleotide long non-coding RNA is filed under the name Elaeis guineensis (African oil palm). Its description in RNAcentral is "long non-coding RNA (EGUI_LNC080321)". Lineage: Eukaryota; Viridiplantae; Streptophyta; Magnoliopsida; Arecales; Arecaceae. The record is from RNAcentral.